RNAcentral lists this ribosomal RNA (958 nucleotides) under Pseudomonas sp. RNAcentral's name for it is "bacterial SSU rRNA". It matches the Rfam family "Bacterial small subunit ribosomal RNA", at positions 74 to 1029 of the family's 1533-position model. The record is from RNAcentral. Lineage: Bacteria; Pseudomonadati; Pseudomonadota; Gammaproteobacteria; Pseudomonadales; Pseudomonadaceae.
GUGAGCUUGCUCAUGGAUUCAGCGGCGGACGGGUGAGUAAUGCCUAUGAAUCUGCCUGGUAGUGGGGGACAACGUUUCGAAAGGAACGCUAAUACCGCAUACGUCCUACGGGAGAAAGCAGGGGACCUUCGGGCCUUGCGCUAUCAGAUGAGCCUAGGUCGGAUUAGCUAGUUGGUGAGGUAAUGGCUCACCAAGGCUACGAUCCGUAACUGGUCUGAGAGGAUGAUCAGUCACACUGGAACUGAGACACGGUCCAGACUACUACGGGAGGCAGCAGUGGGGAAUAUUGGACAAUGGGCGAAAGCCUGAUCCAGCCAUGCCGCGUGUGUGAAGAAGGUCUUCGGAUUGUAAAGCACUUUAAGUUGGGAGGAAGGGUUGUAGAUUAAUACUCUGCAAUUUUGACGUUACCGACAGAAUAAGCACCGGCUAACUCUGUGCCAGCAGCCGCGGUAAUACAGAGGGUGCAAGCGUUAAUCGGAAUUACUGGGCGUAAAGCGCGCGUAGGUGGUUCGUUAAGUUGGAUGUGAAAUCCCCGGGCUCAACCUGGGAACUGCAUCCAAAACUGGCGAGCUAGAGUAUGGUAGAGGGUGGUGGAAUUUCCUGUGUAGCGGUGAAAUGCGUAGAUAUAGGAAGGAACACCAGUGGCGAAGGCGACCACCUGGACUGAUACUGACACUGAGGUGCGAAAGCGUGGGGAGCAAACAGGAUUAGAUACCCUGGUAGUCCACGCCGUAAACGAUGUCAACUAGCCGUUGGGAGCCUUGAGCUCUUAGUGGCGCAGCUAACGCAUUAAGUUGACCGCCUGGGGAGUACGGCCGCAAGGUUAAAACUUAAAUUAAUUGACGGGGGCCCGCACAAGCGGUGGAGCAUGAGGUUAAUUCGAAGCAACGCGAAGAACCUACGCAGGCCUUGACAUCCAAUGAACUUUCCAGAGAUGGAUUGGUGCGCUCGGGAACAU